This 207-nucleotide ribosomal RNA is filed under the name uncultured bacterium. RNAcentral describes it as "partial 16S ribosomal RNA". It matches the Rfam family "Bacterial small subunit ribosomal RNA", at positions 568 to 774 of the family's 1533-position model. The record is from RNAcentral.
CGUGUAGGCGGACUCGCAAGUCGGUUGUGAAAUCCCUGGGCUCAACCUAGGAACUGCAUCCGAAACUGCUUGUCUUGAGUAAUGGAGAGGGUGGCGGAAUUCCCGGUGUAGAGGUGAAAUUCGUAGAUAUCGGGAGGAACAUCAGUGGCGAAGGCGGCCACCUGGACAUUUACUGGCGCUGAGACGCGAAAGCGUGGGGAGCAAACA